ACGAACGCUGGCGGCAGGCCUAACACAUGCAAGUCGAGCGCUGUAGCAAUACAGAGCAGCGCACGGGUGAGUAACACGUGGGAACGUGCCCUUUGGUUCGGAAUAACUCAGGGAAACUUGAGCUAAUACCGGAUGAGCCCUAACGGGGAAAGAUUUAUCGCCGAAGGAGCGGCCCGCGUCGGAUUAGCUAGUUGGUGGGGUAAUAGCCUACACG
Molecule: ribosomal RNA, 214 nt
Filed under: uncultured bacterium
Lineage: Bacteria
Description: partial 16S ribosomal RNA
Rfam family: Bacterial small subunit ribosomal RNA
Source: RNAcentral